This 509-nucleotide long non-coding RNA is filed under the name Populus trichocarpa (black cottonwood). RNAcentral describes it as "long non-coding RNA (PTRI_LNC004230)". Lineage: Eukaryota; Viridiplantae; Streptophyta; Magnoliopsida; Malpighiales; Salicaceae. The record is from RNAcentral.
GAAAACAGAGAAUUCAUUACAAAUUUAUUGAUCCCUGUCCAUGAUAAUAAUUCAAUAUUAAACCAUUGAACAGGAUGCCUAUAUAUAUAAUUUUUUAUUACAUUCCAUGCAUUUGGCAUUAACGUACAUUAAGCAACAAACCAAACUCGCUUUAGUUCUGCAUUUGGUCGUUUGCUCUGACGGAACAUGGAAGAGCUUGCAUGGCACUACGUAGAGAUUUUAAUGAUGUUUGGGGUCUGGCCCUCCAGGACUGAUUCGUUUCGGUUCGUAAGGGCUUCCGGUCACAUCUGAAUCGUCUUCGAAGAGUUGUUUUGAUUUCUCAUUCAGUUCUUGCAGCAUUCUUGCUGGGUUCUUCCUCCCGAGGUAAGGCUGAUCAAGAAGUCUAGUUUCUGAUUUGGAAAACGUAAGAAACAGCAAAAGAAGGCACACCCAGAGCUUCAAAUUGGCCAUAAUAUCAAUAUUCCUCCUCUUUGGCUCUCGAGACUAGUAUAAAUUCUAGCUAGUCGUUU